UAUCCCAGAUCUCUGAGGAGAGCCUGGUGCUAGGAUGGAGAAGCGCAGGUAAGAGGCUGCAGACUUGCUGUUACUCGGUGAGUUAAGUCUCUUACCUCCUGUGUGACCCUGGACAAAGCACUUAACCUCUCUGUGCCUUAGUUCCCUCUUCCUAAAAGUGAGUUCAACAUGAUCACUCUGCCCAGCUGACAGAGUUGUGUAAGGCUCAAAGAAUACACAGACUGAAAAAUUCUAUAUAACUAGGAAGGAACUAGCUCAAGUUCUGUUGUUUCAACUUGAAUCUUGAGGAAACUGGGACCCAGAGAAUCUCCUCUAAGCGCAGGGAUAAGGGCAUUUCUCAAUUCAAAUCAUGGGACGUGGAAAUAUGGAAGAAAGUGGUGGCCUAGUGCUGUGGUAGUCUCACUGAAGCAGAGCAACAAAACAUCCAGGACUUGAGUCAAGUUACUGGAGAAAAGGGAACCAAGGAAAGGCAUGAAGGGGAUCUGUUGUUCUGACUGAACACACAGGUAGAGAUCAAGACUGGACAGUGAAAGCUGCUAUGUGAUAAGCUCACCGUAGCCCUCUUGGUGAGCAAAAGCAUAUCCAGAUCUUCGCGAGCUUGAUCUCCGAGUCUGAGGCUUUCGGCUACGCAGGGGCCUUGCCUUCUUUUGAGCCUUCUGCCACUGGCGGAUCUGGAGACAAAGGAGACCCAGAGUGAGACGGAGGAUCCAAAUGACAGACUCCACAUAGAGGGCCACUUCCUGAGGCAGAGGACAUGGUUCCAAGAGCAAAGAAUCAACCCCUCAAGUACCCAUCAGUGCUGCAACAUACCUGAUCACUCAGCGUUGGGAAUAAAUCCACCUUCAAAAAUCUGAAUGCCACCACAGGCAUAACUGAAGCCACUGUUGUUAAGAGAAUAACAA
Odocoileus virginianus texanus is the source of this 902-nucleotide long non-coding RNA. RefSeq lists it as uncharacterized. The record is from RefSeq and is a predicted model, not a curated record. NCBI's taxonomy places the organism in Eukaryota, Metazoa, Chordata, Mammalia, Artiodactyla, Cervidae.